Molecule: transfer RNA, 84 nt
Filed under: Annulohypoxylon maeteangense
Lineage: Eukaryota; Fungi; Ascomycota; Sordariomycetes; Xylariales; Hypoxylaceae
Description: tRNA-Arg
Rfam family: tRNA
About the family: Transfer RNA (tRNA) molecules are approximately 80 nucleotides in length. Their secondary structure includes four short double-helical elements and three loops (D, anti-codon, and T loops).
Source: RNAcentral
GGUCCGUUGGCCCAAUGGUAAGGCGUCUGACUACGACUACCAGCAGUUAUCAGGAGAUUCUGGGUUCGACCCCCAGGCGGACCU